GGUUCUGUAGUGUAGUGGUUAUCACCCGAGAUUCUGAUAUCUGUCUAGAUUUCUCGUGACCCCGGUUCGAUCCCGGGCAGGACCU
Molecule: non-coding RNA, 85 nt
Organism: Crucibulum laeve
Lineage: Eukaryota; Fungi; Basidiomycota; Agaricomycetes; Agaricales; Nidulariaceae
Source: the annotation of a GenBank genome assembly